GGGGCUGGGGCUCAGUGGUAGAGCUCUUGCCUAGCAUGUAUGAGGCACAGGGUUCAAUUCUCAGCACCA
RNAcentral lists this transfer RNA (69 nucleotides) under Ictidomys tridecemlineatus (thirteen-lined ground squirrel). RNAcentral describes it as "Spermophilus tridecemlineatus (thirteen-lined ground squirrel) tRNA". It matches the Rfam family "tRNA". From Rfam's summary of the family: Transfer RNA (tRNA) molecules are approximately 80 nucleotides in length. Lineage: Eukaryota; Metazoa; Chordata; Mammalia; Rodentia; Sciuridae. The record is from Rfam by way of RNAcentral.